GAUGAACGCUGGCGGCGUGCUUAACACAUGCAAGUCGAACGGAAAGGCUCCUGCUUGCCGGGGUACUCGAGUGGCGAACGGGUGAGUAACACGUGGGUGAUCUGCCCUGCACUUCGGGAUAAGCCUGGGAAACUGGGUCUAAUACCGGAUAGGACGAUGGUUUGGAUGCGAUUGUGGAAAGUUUUUCGGUGUGGGAUGAGCUCGCGGCGUAUCCGCUUGUUGGUGGGGUAAUGGCCUACCAAGGCGACGACGGGUAGCCGGCCUGAGAGGGGGUACGGCCACAAUGGAACGGAGACACGGUCCAGAGUCCUGCGGGAGGCAGCAGUAGGGAACCUUCCGCAAUGGGCGGAAGCCUGCCGGAGCAAGGCCGCGUGAGUGAUGAAGGUCUUCGGAUCGGAAAACUCUGUUAGUAGGGAAGAACAAAUGUGUAAGUAACUAUGCACGUCUUGACGGUACCUAAUCAGAAAGCCACGGCUAACUACGUG
RNAcentral lists this ribosomal RNA (485 nucleotides) under uncultured bacterium. Its description in RNAcentral is "partial 16S ribosomal RNA". It matches the Rfam family "Bacterial small subunit ribosomal RNA", at positions 28 to 507 of the family's 1533-position model. The record is from RNAcentral.